AUGCAGCCUAGGUCUCUUCUGCCUGGAAAUUCACCUGAGAGUCUGUGCCUGGAGGCGCAGGUGCACCAGGAAGUUCCACCUAGAAGUGCAGGUGCUCAAGGGAUUCUCACCAGGAAGUUCACCCAUAAAUGCAGAUGCAGCAGAAUGUCUUACCUAGAAGUGCAGGUGCAUCAGGAAGUGCAGAUGUGCAAGGGAUUCUCACCAGGAAGUGCAGAUGAACCAAGAAGUCUGCACCAGGAAGUGCAGGUGCACCAGGAAGUCUGCAUCUGGGAGUGCAGGUGCACCCGGAAGUCUGCAUCUGGGAGUGCAGGUGCACCAGGAAGUCUGCAUCUGGGAGUGCAGGUGCACCCGGAAGGCUCAUCUGGGAGGGAAGGCUCAUCUGGGAGUGCAGUUGUACCAGAAAGUCCCAUCUGGAAGUGCAGGUGCACCAGGAAGUCUCACCUGGAAGUACAGGUGCACCAGGAAAUCUACAUGUUCCACAUGAGGUGACUCCUGGGCCUGUUUUCUGAUUCCGUUUCCAACUCUGCUGACAUUAAUCCACCACCCCAGUGUCUCUCAGCUCUAAAUCCAUGAUUCCCUCACACUCCACCCUUCUGGCCUGGCCUGUGCCUCUUUGCCCCUGUGACAGGGAAGGGUGGCAGAGCAAGUGCUGCCCAUAGGAGUCCCGGACUGGCUGGUCAUGGCCACCUUGGGCCCAGGCCUCCUCCUCUUGUGAGGAGGUAGGCAGGCAGCCAGUGAUGCCUGGGCCCCCUCCUGACACUGGGCCCCCCAGGAAGGCCAGCAGUGCCAGGCCUGGGAGUGGAGUAUGGAAGCCUCAGAAGUUGCCUAUUCCAAGAGCAUGGCAGUGGGCCAGGCUUUCUCCCCAGCCGGGAGGACCCAAGGACCCCUUGUUUCUGAGGGGCCCUUGUUUCUGAGGGUCCCUUGUUUCCAAGAGGCCCUACACUUUCUGAGGAACUUCCUUGGAUUCAGGCCUCUGCCACAUCUCAAAUUCUCUCCCUGCUUCUGCUACAAACAGCCAUGAGGUGGGGCCCACCUAGCAGCUCCCAGCUCCAUGAGAGUGAGGCCAUGGCCAUCUCCAAAGACCACAGUGGCCUGACCAGGUGGAUGUGACAUCUUUACUGCCCACUGCUGAGACCUUUCUGCCUCUUGUUUCCAUGCUGGGGUGUUCAGGGAAGUCCUGCCAGGCCCUGGGCCUUGGGGCAGAAGCUCCAUUUUCACCAGAAGCUGAGAAUGAGAGGAACGUUCAGGUAGAUGCAGAGGUGAGAACCCUGCAGGGGCUGAGCCGGCCCAGCCCAGCCAAAUCCCAGCCUGGGGACCAGGGGCAAACUGUUAAACCUCGGUGUCCACAGUUAUAAAGCAGCAGUGAUGGCAGCUCCAGGCUCCCACACACUUAGACAGGAACAUGGUGGCCUAAGUGAGGGCAGGCCGCCUGCCCAGGGCCCCCACUGCUGUGGCUGUGUUCCUUGUUGUUGCUGUUGGCAGUGUCCUAUGAGAACCACCUGGGCACACACCAUGGCAGGAAAGCUGGAAGUCUCAUCUGGGACUCUCAUGUGUGGUUCCCACCUUGGCAGAGCCAUCUGGGCUAUUCUGAGCACAGUUCACCCACCACCUAAGGAAUGGGAAACUCCUCACAUUCGACGCCUCCUUUUAAACAAGGUCCACGGCUUCCAUUUUCCUAUGCUAUGGCAGGCCAUGACCUUUACUCAUGCCUCCCACACAACAAAAUCAAAUAAAAUAAAUCCUGGGUAAGAUAUGAACAUUUCUUUAAAGUAUUGAUAAACUGACAAAGAAGCUUUAUUCCAAGAGUCAGGUUAGAGUUCAGUAGGGACUGACAGGGCCUCCAGGAACAUGGCAGAAGUAAACACAGAUCCCUUCUGUACCACAGGACCCCAAGCACUUUGGGAGGCUGAAGCUGGCAGAUCACCUGAGAUCAGGAAUUGGAGACAAGCCUGACCAAUGUGGUUAAACCCAGUCUCUACUAAAAAUACAAAAGUCAGCCGGGCAUGUAGCAUGCACCUGUAGUCCCAGCAACUUGGGAGGCUGAGGCAGGAGAAUUGCUUGAACCUGGGAGGCAGAGGUUGCAGUGAGCCAAGAUCGCCCCAUUGCACUCCAGCCUGGGUGACAGAGCGAGACUGACUCAAGAAAAAAGGAAUUCAGAUAAUCAGAUAAUGGCCUUAUCACACACAGAGGACGAGAAAUUAAAGGACCAAAAACAUGCAAAAAAUAACUACGCCCAACCCUGAGAAGAUCUCCUAGAAUGAAAAUACAUAACUGAAAUUCAAAGGCAAUGAAUGCAUUUAACUGCAGAGCAGACACAGCAGAGGAGAGGACGGAUGAGCCUGGAGGAAGCGGAAGCUGUCCUCUAUGCAGCACCGGAAGUCAGACAGAAAGUGCGGAGGAGAAGAUGGGAGGAGGGGAAGCUGGCAGAAAGGGUCUGGCACACAUCCACGUUGACUCCCAGAAGGAGAGAGAGGAAAAUUCAGAGUAAAGUCUAGAAAGAGGGUGGCUGACCACAGGUCUGUCUGAUUCUGUCAAGAAUAAUUCAGAAGGAGCUGCAAAUAAAGUGUUUGGGUUAAUAAGUUUGGCAGGUUUGCAGGAUACAAACCAAAAUGCAAACAUCUGUUGUAUUGGCAUAUAUGAGCAACAAAAAAAAAAAAUAGAAAAUAUAACUUUUUAAACAAUGCUGUAUUAGGGUUGGGCAUGAUGGCUCAUACCUGUAAUCCCAGCACUUUGGGAGGCCCCGGUAGACAAAUCACUUGAGGUCAAGAGUUCAAGACCAGCCUGGCCAACAAAGUGAAACUCCAUCUCUACUAAAAAUACAAAAUUAGCUGGAUGUGGUGGCACACGCCUGUAGUCCUAGCUAUUUGGGAGGCUGAGGCACAAGAAUCACUUGAACCUAGGAGGCAGAGGUUGCAGUGAGCCGAGAUCGUGCCACUGCACUCCAGCCUGGGCGACACAGUGAGACCCUGUCUCAAAAAAAACAAAAACAAAAAAGAUACUGCGUUAGUUAGGAUUCUCUAGAGAAACAGAACCAACAAGAUGUGUGUGUAUGUGCAUGCCUGCAUGUGCCUGUGUGUGUACGCAUGUGCACGUGUGUGUGCAUGUGUUUGUGUACACAGAGAGAGUACUGAUUUUUUUUUUUUUUUGAGACGGAGUUUCACUCUUUCACCCAGGCAGGAGUGCAGUGGUGCAACUUCGGCUCACUGCAACCUCCACCUCCCAGUUUCAAGCAAUUCUCCUGCCUCAGCCUCCCAAGUAGCUAGAAUUACAGGCGCCCGCCACCACGCCUAGCUAAUUUUUGUAUUUUUAAUAGAGAUGGGGUUGCACCAUGUUGGCCAGGCUGGUCUCGAACUCCUGACCUCGUGAUCCAUCCGCCUUGGCCUCCCAAAGUGCUGGGAUUACAGAUGUGAGCCACCACACCCAGCCUCGAUUAUUGAUUUUUUUAAGGAAUUGGCCCACACAAUUGUGGAGGCGUAGUGGGCCCAGAGUCUGCAGGGCAGGCCAACAGUCUGGAGACUCAGGGAGCAGUUGGAGUUUGAGUCCAAAGGCCACUUGCUGGCAGAAUUCCCUCUUCCCUUGGGGAGGUCGGCCUGUGUUCUAGUCAGGCCUUCACCUGAUUGGAUGAAACCCACCCACAUUAUGGGGAGCCUUCUGCCCCACUGAAGGUCAGCUGAUUUCAGUGUGAAUCUUAUCUGAAAAGCAGCCUCACAGCAACAUCCUGACCAAGUACUUGGGCACUGUGGCCCAGCCAAGUUGGCAUAAAAUUAACCAUCACAGAGACUAUUACAGCAGGACAGAUGGCAAGAAGCAUCGAGGAAUAAACCUAACAAAAUACGUGCAAGAUACACAGAGAAAAAAUACGAAAUUUUACUGCACGUCAUUAACGAAGAUCUAAAUAAAAGGAGAAAUAAAACAUAUUUGUUUUCAAAAAAUAAAC
This 3937-nucleotide long non-coding RNA is filed under the name Macaca fascicularis (crab-eating macaque). Its description in RNAcentral is "lncRNA (ENSMFAG00000053474.1)". The record is from RNAcentral. Lineage: Eukaryota; Metazoa; Chordata; Mammalia; Primates; Cercopithecidae.